ACUUGAUAAAAGAAUUUUAGUUCUACCUAAAGCCCAAAUAAAGUUUUAUAAACUAACAUUUAUGCUUUAGAGUUAUUCAAAUAAGGUACAGCCUAUUUGAAUAAGGAGACAACCUAAACUAAUGGGUAAAACAUCUACAGUGUAUUAAAGUGGGCCUAAAAGCAGCCACCUUCAAUAAUAGCGUCAAAGCUUACCUACACAAGUACAUUCAAUUUUAUAUCCUAAUCCAAACCCUUUAUUUUCAUCAAGUAAUUCUAUAUAUCUAUAGAACAUAAAAUGUUAAAACUAGUAACAAGAAGUAAACCCUUCUCUUAAAUGCAAGUGUAGGCCAGGAAGGAUAAACCACUGUCAAUUAACACCAAUGAUUUUCAAUUAACAACACCACAAGAGAACCCUAAUAAAACAAAUGUUAAACUAACACAAGAGCAUUUCAAGAAAGAUUAAAAGAAAAAGAAGGAACUCGGCAAACACCAACCCCGCCUGUUUACCAAAAACAUCGCCUCUUGACAAAUAUAAGAGGUCCAGCCUGCCCAGUGACCUAGUUCAACGGCCGCGGUAUCCUAACCGUGCGAAGGUAGCGUAAUCACUUGUUCUUUAAAUGGGGACUAGUAUGAAUGGCAUCACGAGGGUUACACUGUCUCCUUUUUUUGAUCAGUGAAACUAAUCUUCCCGUGAAGAAGCGGGAAUAUCUUUAUAAGACGAGAAGACCCUAUGGAGCUUUAAACAAAUUAACACCUGCUGCCUGAGAUUAUUUUUUCAGAAAUAUAAAACAUAGCAUAGCAUGAUGAUUAAUAGUUUUUGAUUGGGGUGAUCACGGAGUAAAAAACAACCUCCAUGCCGAAAGGGAUUUUACCCUGAGCAAAAAACCACAAUUUUAAGCACUAAAAAAUUAACGUUUAUUGACCCAGUAUAAUGAUCAACGAACCAAGUUACCCUAGGGAUAACAGCGCAAUCCACUUCAAGAGCUCCUAUCGACAAGUGGGUUUACGACCUCGAUGUUGGAUCAGGGUAUCCCAGUGGUGCAGCCGCUACUAACGGUUCGUUUGUUCAACGAUUAAAACCCU
RNAcentral lists this ribosomal RNA (1064 nucleotides) under Boana pulchella (Montevideo treefrog). Its description in RNAcentral is "partial 16S ribosomal RNA". The stretch from base 429 to 1064 matches the Rfam family "Archaeal large subunit ribosomal RNA", at positions 1423 to 2666 of the family's 2987-position model. The record is from RNAcentral. Lineage: Eukaryota; Metazoa; Chordata; Amphibia; Anura; Hylidae.